CCUACGGGAGACAGCAGUGAGGAAUAUUGGUCAAUGGCCGGCAGGCUGAACCAGCCAUGCCGCGUGAAGGUCAGUGCCCUAUGGGCGUUAAACUUCUUUUGUGCGGGAGCAAUACUGUUCACGUGUGGCCAGACGAGGUUACCGUACGAAUAAGCAUCGGCUAACUCCGUGCCCGCCGCCGCGGUAAUACGGGGGAUGCAAGCGUUAUCCGGAUUUAUUGGGGUUAAAGGGUUCGUAGUCUGUGAGGUAAGUCAGCGGUGAAAUGACCCCGCUCACCGGGGUGAAGUGCCAUUGAUACUGCUUUGCUGGAAUGCGGAUGCCGUGGGAGGAAUGUGGGGUGUAGCGGUGAAAUGCAUAGAUAUCACACAGAACACCGAUUGCGAAGGCAUCUCACGAAUCCGCGAUUGACGCUGAUGCACGAAAGCGUGGGUAUCAAACAGGAUUAGAUACCCGUGUAGUC
This 460-nucleotide ribosomal RNA is filed under the name uncultured bacterium. RNAcentral's name for it is "partial 16S ribosomal RNA". It matches the Rfam family "Bacterial small subunit ribosomal RNA", at positions 338 to 795 of the family's 1533-position model. The record is from RNAcentral.